RNAcentral lists this ribosomal RNA (493 nucleotides) under uncultured bacterium. RNAcentral's name for it is "bacterial SSU rRNA". It matches the Rfam family "Bacterial small subunit ribosomal RNA", at positions 903 to 1397 of the family's 1533-position model. The record is from RNAcentral.
AAAUGAAUAGACGGGGGCCCGCACAAGCGGCGGAGCAUGCGGAUUAAUUCGAUGCAACGCGAAGAACCUUACCAAGGCUUGACAUGAGAGGUAAUCCGGCAGAGAUGUCGGGUCCGUAAGGGCCUCUCACAGGUGGUGCAUGGUUGUCGUCAGCUCGUGUCGUGAGAUGUUGGGUUAAGUCCCGCAACGAGCGCAACCCUUGUUCUAUGUUGCCAGCGCGUAAUGGCGGGGACUCAUAGGAGACUGCCGGGGUCAACUCGGAGGAAGGUAGGGAUGAGGUCAAAUCAUCAUGCCCCUUAUGUCUUGGGCUUCACGCAUGCUACAAUGGCCAGUACAAAGGGCUGCGAGACCGUAAGGUGGAGCGAAUCCCAAAAAGCUGGUCUCAGUUCGGAUCGGGGUCUGCAACUCGACCCCGUGAAGUCGGAGUCGCUAGUAAUCGCAGAUCAGCAACGCUGCGGUGAAUACGUUCCCGGGCCUUGUACACACCGCCCGU